GCUUCACGGGUUCGAAGCUUAGCCAUUUCAUUAAGAUAAGCUUGAGGGGGAGUAUUGAUCAAGAUCUUAUUGAGUAUGUCAAGAUAGAAUAGACCAUUAUAAAGUACCUUAUAUUGGUCUAUUCUAUACAUACGGGGAUGUUCAAAUAGAUUAGCAUUAUUUAUAUUGUUAGCUUCCCUUGUAAGCUUAUCUCUUAUCCCACUUAUUUAUAUGUGUGGUU
Molecule: long non-coding RNA, 220 nt
Filed under: Capsella rubella
Lineage: Eukaryota; Viridiplantae; Streptophyta; Magnoliopsida; Brassicales; Brassicaceae
Description: long non-coding RNA (CRUB_LNC001641)
Source: RNAcentral